AUUGAACGCUGGCGGCAUGCCUUACACAUGCAGGUCGAACGGCAGCAUGAUCUAGCUUGCUAGAUUGAUGGCGAGUGGCGAACGGGUGAGUAAUACAUCGGAACGUGCCCUGUAGUGGGGGAUAACUAGUCGAAAGAUUAGCUAAUACCGCAUACGACCUGAGGGUGAAAGUGGGGGACCGCAAGGCCUCAUGCUAUAGGAGCGGCCGAUGUCUGAUUAGCUAGUUGGUGAGGUAAAGGCUCACCAAGGCGACGAUCAGUAGCUGGUCUGAGAGGACGAUCAGCCACACUGGGACUGAGACACGGCCCAGACUCCUACGGGAGGCAGCAGUGGGGAAUUUUGGACAAUGGGCGAAAGCCUGAUCCAGCAAUGCCGCGUGUGUGAAGAAGGCCUUCGGGUUGUAAAGCACUUUUGUCCGGAAAGAAAUGGCUCUGGUUAAUACCUGGGGUCGAUGACGGUACCGGAAGAAUAAGGACCGGCUAACUACGUG
This 490-nucleotide ribosomal RNA is filed under the name uncultured bacterium. RNAcentral describes it as "partial 16S ribosomal RNA". It matches the Rfam family "Bacterial small subunit ribosomal RNA", at positions 30 to 507 of the family's 1533-position model. The record is from RNAcentral.